RNAcentral lists this long non-coding RNA (271 nucleotides) under Setaria viridis. Its description in RNAcentral is "long non-coding RNA (SVIR_LNC009495)". Lineage: Eukaryota; Viridiplantae; Streptophyta; Magnoliopsida; Poales; Poaceae. The record is from RNAcentral.
CAGGGCGGGGUGGUGUUGGUAGGGUCGGCCGGGGCACCUGUGGUUGGAAGCCUGGAAAACGGGGCGCUGCUGCUGGCGGGGGUCGGGCAAUCCACCUUCCUGACUGCUGGGGUCGGCCGGGGGCUUGUGGAGGAACCAUCCGGAACCUUCGGGUGGGUUGACUCGGAAAUGCCACGGAGGCUUUCCUCUUCUGGUCGGCUUUGAGAGCUUGCAAACAAUCCUCUUGAGAGAUGGCCAGAUUGACCAACUCAUUGUAGGUGUCCACCUUGAU